AACGCACGAGACCUGCGGACCUGCGGAAGGAUCAUUAACAAAUUUGUUGAGUAUGUACAAUUGUGAACAGGCCAGAGUUUGUAUCUGAAGAAGCAUUUGUGUUGCUGAAUAUUUGUGUAGCAGAUAAGCAAUUAUUUGUGUAGCUAAAGAAGCAGAUGAGCAAUUAUUUGUCUAGCUAAAUAAGCAAUUAUUUGUGUAGCUAAAUAUUUGUCUAGCUGAAUAAGCAAAUUCACUACAAAA
RNAcentral lists this unclassified non-coding RNA (240 nucleotides) under soil metagenome. RNAcentral describes it as "partial contains 5.8S ribosomal RNA, internal transcribed spacer 2, and large subunit ribosomal RNA". The record is from RNAcentral.